UGGUUCCGCGCCGACAAUGUAGCGGGGCUCAAGCACACCACCGAAGACGCGGCAGUAGCUUUGCUACUGGGUAGGAGAGCGUCCCAUGCGGGGCGAAGCGGCGGCGCAAGCCCGCCGUGGACCGCAUGGGAGUGAGAAUGCAGACAUGAGUAGCGAAAGACGGGUGAAGAUCCCGUCCGCUGGACGACCAAGGGUUCCAGGGCCACGUUCAUCGUCCCUGGGUGAGUCGGGUCCUAAGGCGAGGCCGACAGGCGUAGUCGAAUGGACGAACGGGUCGAUAUUCCCGUACCGGCAUGCAACCGGCAAAACCGAAUCCGCGAGUACUAACCUCCGGGUCCGGGCUCACGUCUCCUUCGGGAGCCGGAUGCCCUGGCCUGUUGGGACCGUAACGGUAGUAGGUCAGCGCGGGAGUGACGCAGAAGGGUAGCCGGCCGCGGAGGUGGUCUUCCGUGGUCAAGCACGCAGCCCGUCCCACAGGCAAAUCCGUGGGGCGCGUGGGCGAGGUGCGAUGAUGGGCGCCGCAGGGCGCGAUAUCCGGUGAUCCCGGCUGCCGAGAAAAGCUUCGGCGUGAGGCGGCAUGCCGCCCGUACCCCAAACCGACACUGGUGGUCAGGUAGAGAAUACCAAAGCGAUCGAGCGAAUCCUGGUCAAGGAACUCGGCAAAUCACUCCCGUUCCUUCGGUUUAAGGGAGACCCCCGAUGGUGAAGCGGCUUGCCCGCGGAGCUUUUGGGGGUGGCACAGACCAGGGGGUAGCGACUGUUUACCAAAAACACAGGAGCGUGCGAAGGCGCAAGCCGCUGUAUACGCUCUGACGCCUGCCCGGUGCCGGAAGGUUAAGAGGAUCCGUCAGGCCUCGGCCGAAGCGGUGAAUUCAAGCCCCGGUAAACGGCGGUGGUAACUAUAACCAUCCUAAGGUAGCGAAAUUCCUUGUCGGGUAAGUUCCGACCUGCACGAAUGGCGUAACGACUUCCCCACUGUCUCGACCAGGAGCUCGGCGAAAUUGCAGUACGAGUAAAGAUGCUCGUUAAGCGCAGAAGGACGAAAAGACCCCGGGACCUUUACUAUACCUUGGUAUUGGCAUUCGGUGUGGAUUGUGUAGCAUAGGCGGAAGGCUUCGAAGCCACGGCGCCAGCCGCGGUGGAGCCGCAAGGUGAAAUACCGCUCUGUUCGCAUUGGAUGUCUAACCUCGACCAGUCAUCCUGGUCAGGGACAGUGCCUGGCGGGUAGUUUAACUGGGGCGGUUGCCUCCCAAAGAGUAACGGAGGCGCUCAAAGGUUCCCUCAGCCCGGUUGGCAAUCGGGUGGCGAGUGUAAGUGCACAAGGGAGCUUGACUGCGAGACUGACGGGUCGAGCAGGGACGAAAGUCGGAACUAGUGAUCCGGUGCCGGUGUACGGACGCGGCAUCGCUCAACGGAUAAAAGGUACCCCGGGGAUAACAGGCUGAUCAUUCCCAAGAGUCCAUAUCGACGGGAUGGUUUGGCACCUCGAUGUCGGCUCGUCGCAUCCUGGGGCUGGAGCAGGUCCCAAGGGUUCGGCUGUUCGCCGAUUAAAGCGGCACGCGAGCUGGGUUCAGAACGUCGUGAGACAGUUUGGUCUCUAUCCUCUGCGCUCGUCGGAAUGUUGAGGAGGCCUGCCCAUAGUACGAGAGGACCUGGGUGGACGAACCUCUGGUAUGCCGGUUGUCACGCCAGUGGCACGGCCGGUUGGCUACGUUCGGAAGGGAUAACCGCUGAAAGCAUCUAAGCGGGAAGCCUGCUCCAAGAUAAGCAUUCCAUAGGACUACGGGUCCUUGAAGUCCCCAUGCAGAACACGUGGUUGAUAGGCCGGACGUGGAAGCCCCGCGAGGGGUGGAGCCGACCGGUACUAACGGACGAAAGGCAACACAAU
Molecule: ribosomal RNA, 1888 nt
Filed under: metagenome
Description: bacterial LSU rRNA
Rfam family: Bacterial large subunit ribosomal RNA
Source: RNAcentral